Molecule: ribosomal RNA, 253 nt
Filed under: uncultured bacterium
Lineage: Bacteria
Description: partial 16S ribosomal RNA
Rfam family: Bacterial small subunit ribosomal RNA
Source: RNAcentral
UACGAAGGGGGCUAGCGUUGCUCGGAAUCACUGGGCGUAAAGGUUGCGUAGGCGGGUCUUUAAGUCAGGGGUGAAAUCCUGGAGCUCAACUCCAGAACUGCCUUUGAUACUGAGGAUCUUGAGUUCGGGAGAGGUGAGUGGAACUGCGAGUGUAGAGGUGAAAUUCGUAGAUAUUCGCAAGAACACCAGUGGCGAAGGCGGCUCACUGGCCCGAUACUGACGCUGAGGCACGAAAGCGUGGGGAGCAAACAGG